CCUACGGGUGGCAGCAGUGGGGAAUAUUGGACAAUGGGGGGAACCCUGAUCCAGCCAUGCCGCGUGUGUGAAGAAGGCCCUCGGGUUGUAAAGCACUUUCAGUGAGGAAGAACGCCUGGUGGUUAAUACCCAUCAGGAAAGACAUCACUCACAGAAGAAGCACCGGCUAACUCCGUGCCAGCAGCCGCGGUAAUACGGAGGGUGCGAGCGUUAAUCGGAAUUACUGGGCGUAAAGCGCGCGUAGGUGGCUUGAUAAGCCGGUUGUGAAAGCCCCGGGCUCAACCUGGGAACGGCAUCCGGAACUGUCAAGCUAGAGUGCAGGAGAGGAAGGUAGAAUUCCCGGUGUAGCGGUGAAAUGCGUAGAGAUCGGGAGGAAUACCAGUGGCGAAGGCGGCCUUCUGGACUGACACUGACACUGAGGUGCGAAAGCGUGGGUAGCAAACAGGAUUAGAUACCCCUGUAGUC
RNAcentral lists this ribosomal RNA (465 nucleotides) under Vreelandella stevensii. Its description in RNAcentral is "partial 16S ribosomal RNA". It matches the Rfam family "Bacterial small subunit ribosomal RNA", at positions 338 to 795 of the family's 1533-position model. The record is from RNAcentral. Lineage: Bacteria; Pseudomonadati; Pseudomonadota; Gammaproteobacteria; Oceanospirillales; Halomonadaceae.